Molecule: long non-coding RNA, 492 nt
Filed under: Homo sapiens (human)
Lineage: Eukaryota; Metazoa; Chordata; Mammalia; Primates; Hominidae
Description: non-protein coding lnc-MED10-19:1
Source: RNAcentral
GGAGGCUUGACCGGCAUUGUACUAGCCAACUCAUCACUGGAUAUUGUAUUACAUGACACAUAGUAUGUUGUAGCCCACUUCCAUUACAUCUUAUCAAUAGGAGCUGUAUUUGCUAUUAUAGGGGGCUUUAUUCACUGAUUCUGUCUAUUUUCAGGCUAUAUACUCAACCAAGCCUAUGCUAAAGCUCAUUUUGCUAUUAUAUUUAUAGGCGUCAAUUUAACAUUUUUCCCACAGCAUUUCCUCGGCCUAUCUGACAUGCCUCAACGCUACUCCGGUUAUCCCGACACAUACACCACAUGAAAUACUAUCUCAUCCAUAGGCUCAUUUAUUUCCCUGACAGCAGUAAUUCUAAUAAUUUUCAUGAUCUGAGAAGCCUUUGCUUCAAAACGAAAAGUUCUAAUAAUUGAACGACCAUCUACCAACUUAGAAUGACUAUGUGGCUGUCCCCCACCCUAUCACACAUUCGAAGAACCAACCUACAUGAAAACCUAA